This is a small nuclear RNA of Kogia breviceps (pygmy sperm whale), 106 nucleotides long. The record is from RefSeq and is a predicted model, not a curated record. Lineage: Eukaryota; Metazoa; Chordata; Mammalia; Artiodactyla; Physeteridae.
CUGCUCGCUUCAGCAGCACAUAUACUAGAAUAGGAAAGAUACAGAGAAGAUCGGCAUGGCCCUGUACAAGGAUGACAUGCAGAUUUGUGAGGUGUUCCAUAUUUUU